Molecule: non-coding RNA, 1200 nt
Organism: Lonchura striata (white-rumped munia)
Lineage: Eukaryota; Metazoa; Chordata; Aves; Passeriformes; Estrildidae
Source: RefSeq, a predicted model, not a curated record
GUGACCAGUGCUUCCAGUUCACCCAGCUAGCCUCGUGCUCAGGGAAACAGCAGGGCCUACAUGUAAAAUGUGCCUGUGUGGGCACCUGCACAGCAUCUUCAGCCUGCACACACGUGCACACACAGUCUGAGCUGAGGUCUUGUUCUAGUAGCCCUGGAUGUAAGAACCCUAAUACUAACACUGGCUAGUCCUAUCAAACAACUCUGCUAACAUUUUAGGCUAAUGUGUUAUUGAUAAUGCUUUUUUUGAGGUAAGUCCUUCAUUUGGCACCAGAAUACAGACACUGAUAUUUGCACUGUCACAGGUAAUGACAGUGCUUUGAAUGGUUGUGUGAGGAAACAGCUGAUGCAUGUGGUAAGAGUAGAACACAGUCAAAGAGAAUCAGCAAAGCUGGGGUUUAAAUCUGGCUUAAAUGGUGAAGAUUGUUUCUGUCCAAGAGUAAUCAAAGGUUUUCACAACACGGAUCUGUAAAAUUUCUCAGGAUUUUGAUGCUGUCUGACAAGAUCUUUUACCCUGUGGUAAAGUGGAUACAUGCAAUGAUACAACAUGCUGAGAUCUAUUGAUAUUCUCAUUAGUACAGUAUGACUUCAAAGCCAUACCCAUAACUACUACAGAUGCUGUAGGAAUAGGCUCAAGUUAAUUAAUAAGUCUUAUUUUUCUGUCAGAUUUAAUAUGUACAUUAACUGCUUAUUCUGUAAAUCCCAUUUUCAUCUCUGUUCAGAAUGUUAAUGUAAUGAGUUUGCGUUGUUGGUUUUCCCCCCCAUCCUGCAGUAUUUGCUACAGCAAUAUGGGAAGAAAGAUCUUUCAAGCUCCCUUCUGUCCCAAGUGAGGAGAUGAACAACAAAUGGAUUCUAAAGGCAUGAAGUGUUCAGCACUGCUUGAUCUAAAACAGGACAUCUCAAUAUAUUUGAGUAUUUGAGUGCAUUUCUUCCUGUUGAAUCUGCAGUUCUUCCAGUUCAAUGUGGAAUUAGUCCCACUGAGUGUAUUGACACGAAUGUGGAGCACUCUUACAGCUAGCAAGACAAAAUCUCAGUAAAGAUCCUGAUAUACUGCUUCUGACCUUUUCAGGCAGAUGAUGGCUGAGACCUGAGCAUAUGGAUCCCCUGUUUGAAUAAAAGAAUGCUUCUGAGAAAAUCAGCAGAGUUUUGAGUGCUGACAUCCAAGGAGCUGCAGUUAUCAGUGGAAGUUUUGGGCCUUGAU